UUUCCGUAGGUGAACCUGCGGAAGGAUCAUUAUUGUAUAACCGAGGUGCGAGGGCUGUCGCUGACCCGAAAGGUCGUGCACGCCCGAGUGCCCUCACACACAUCCAUCUCACCCCUAUGUGCACCACCGCUUGGGUCCCCCUUUGGCUUGUUCGGAGGGGGGCUUACGUUUUCACACAAACUUUGUAUGCAGUGUAGAAUGUAUUUUUUGUUUUUGCGAUCACGCAAUCAAUACAACUUUCAACAACGGAUCUCUUGGCUCUC
RNAcentral lists this unclassified non-coding RNA (263 nucleotides) under plant metagenome. Its description in RNAcentral is "partial contains small subunit ribosomal RNA, internal transcribed spacer 1, and 5.8S ribosomal RNA". The record is from RNAcentral.